RNAcentral lists this ribosomal RNA (165 nucleotides) under uncultured bacterium. Its description in RNAcentral is "partial 16S rRNA". It matches the Rfam family "Bacterial small subunit ribosomal RNA", at positions 355 to 511 of the family's 1533-position model. The record is from RNAcentral.
UGGGGAAUCUUCGGCAAUGGACGAAAGUCUGACCGAGCAACGCCGCGUGAGUGAAGAGGGUUUUCGGAUCGUAAAACUCUGUUGGUAGAGAAGAACGUUGGUGAGAGUGGAAAGCUCAUCAAGUGACGGUAACUACCCAGAAAGGGACGGCUAACUACGUGCCAA